GGGCUUCCGGCGGAAGCGCUGGAAGCAAGAUGGCGGCCGCCGAGAGGGUUCACAAAGGGUAGGGUGGUGUGGAGCAAGGCAGGGUCCUCGCAGGCAGUGCCAAGAUUGAGCUGGGGGUGGGCAGAGUGGGCGGGGUGCGGACCCAUGGCCCUACGCAUCCUGGGCCAGGUCUCUUGUGGUGCUUCACGCUCUCGACCUGUGAGUGGUGCCUGCUAGAGCUGCCCAGAUCCCUUUUCCCUACCCCUUCUGACCCUGGACCCAGAGUGGUGGUUGCGAUCUGCUACCGUGACGUCAGCCCUCAUUCGUUCGUUCCACAAACUCCACAGCUCUGGUCCAUUAGAGGAAGGAGGUCCCAGAAUAGCUGGGAAAUUACGAGAACAGCCUCACUGCACGAGUUGGUGAAUGCUGUGAUGGCGAUUGUAUGAUGGACGGUGAUGUUGAAACCAGACUGGGGAAUGACCGCCCCAUCCGGAGAGAAAAGCACCAAGGAUUCUCUUUUGUUGAAUUUGAGUUGGCAGAGGAUGUUGCAGCAGCUGUCAACAACAUGUUUGGUCAGAUGAAGACUGGGUGGAGAAGUUUGCUGGGAAGAGGAUAAAGAGGAAGGUGGUUGAGACUUCCCAAAGCAGAAAGCCAGGAGCGCAGCCCAUUUACUGCCUUCUCCAGGAAGCUUUUCUGAAUCCUCCAGUGAGUAAGGGAGAGCCCACUGCUAAAAAAGGCCUAGUCAAAUCCUCAGGUGUACAUGGACAUCAAGAUUGGGAACAAGCCGGCUGGCUGCAUCCAAACCCUCCUGCGUUCCGACGUCGUGCCCAUGACCACAGAGAAUUUUCUCUACAUGUGCACCCAUUUAAAGGACUCGGCUUCAAGGGAAGCAGCUUCCACCGCAUUAUCCCCCAGUUCAUUUGCCAGGGCAGUGAUUUCACAAACCACGGUGGCACCAGGGGUCUGCGCAGGCAUGGCACUAAGUGUCCCAUGGCACAUUUGGCCCUCAUGGAGGCCUCAAAAGGGCAGGACCAGCACCCUCUUCUACGGAGGAAGGAACGGGCACAGCAGGUUGCCCCAGACACCAAGGCAUCAAAAGCCAGGGGAUCCAGAGAAAACACAGACAGCCAAGAGAGAAACUGCGGGAAAAAGCCAAAAGGUUGAGAGCCACACCAUCUAGAAGCUUCCUGCCUGUGGUGCGGCACAGAAACAAGGAGAGUCAGCAAUUACCAGCCAGCCAAGGUCCUGGAAGCUGACGUAGAGCUCGUGCCGACGGCAGACCUGCCGGCCGUGGGAGCCGCGGACGUCAUCUGCAGGGACAGAAGGGGCAAGGUCUUUUCUGGGGUUCCUGCUGUGUGCAGCUACUAUGGGGUACCAGGGUGGGGGAUGCCCUGAUGAGCACAUUUGUCAAAUAAAUGAAUGACAGGAAACCA
Molecule: long non-coding RNA, 1412 nt
Organism: Homo sapiens (human)
Lineage: Eukaryota; Metazoa; Chordata; Mammalia; Primates; Hominidae
Gene: PPIEL
Product: peptidylprolyl isomerase E like (pseudogene)
Source: Ensembl